GGGAAAUCACAAUUCAUGCGGUAUCAUAUUCGUCACAAUUCCAUUGUCCCGGCUCAGGGAGGAAUGCAGUCGUCGUCGCGGGGCAACCCCCCGGUACCGCGGCUCCCGCCGAGUCCCGGAACUUUGAGGCCUUAUACACCGCCGGAUCUAUCUUCGAUACCGCACAUGGACGGUACGCCGCUGCCGAAUCAAACGCCUCAUAACGGCACCUCGAACGGGACUAGCGAGAAUUCGCAGGGAGACGUCACUGGACCUUACAUUGUUGGUAGUCCGAUCGACCUCGGCAACAUUGACAACGUUGAUACUAUCGGUGGGACACUCGGUUCAAUUCGUGAUCGUCGAAAAAGAAACAGAGAGCAUAUUGAACUCCAAGAGACUACGGAAUCCAAUUCCGAUCACGAAGUUGGUACGACGAGAGCAGAAAAUGGGGGGGAUCCCCCGGGUAACGAGGAUCGACCAUCGACUCAUCAGCAGGAAGAGCACGAAGAGAGAAUAGUAUUCAUAAAUGCACCGCAUCAACCGGCCAAAUACAGAAACAAUCACAUAACCACGGCCAAGUACUCUUUUCUCUCUUUCAUACCUUCGUUCCUCUUCGAGCAGUUCCGUCGUUACAGCAACUGUUUCUUCCUCUUCAUAGCCCUCAUGCAGCAAAUACCCGAAGUUUCACCCACCGGACGUUAUACAACUUUGGUUCCGCUGAUUUUCAUUCUCAGCGUGUCAGCGCUCAAAGAGAUAGUCGAAGACAUUAAACGACACAGAGCCGAUGAUGAAAUAAAUAUGAGGGAAGUCGAAGUACUGAGGGAUGGAAAAUGGCAAUGGAUUCAGUGGAGAGCCAUCGCCGUUGGAGAUGUUGUCAAGGUGCACAACAACAAUUUUUUUCCUGCAGACCUCAUACUCUUGUCCUCGUCCGAGCCUCAAGGAAUGUCUUUCAUUGAGACGGCGAAUCUCGACGGCGAAACGAAUCUGAAAAUUCGACAAGCUCAUCCGGAAACCGUUUACUUAUUGGACACCGUGGAAUUGAUGAAUUUUAAAGCUAACAUUCAGUGCGAACCGCCAAAUAGACAUCUCUAUGAAUUCAAUGGGAUUUUGCGCGAGACAAAUAAGCAAAGUGUAGCACUGGGACCCGAUCAACUUUUGCUUCGUGGUGCAAUGCUCAGAAACACCAGAUGGGCAUUCGGUGUUGUAAUCUAUACGGGUCACGAUACGAAACUGAUGCAAAACAAUACGGCGACAGCUCCAUUGAAACGUUCGACUCUCGAUAGAAUGACCAAUACCCAAGUCCUCAUGCUCUUCUUUAUCUUACUCUUGCUAUGUCUGCUCUCUGCUGUAUUCAACGUUCUUUGGAUGAAUGCGAAUUACGAAGGUCUUUCGUACUUAGGAAUUCCAAAGGAAUCCUUGAAAAGUUUUCCCCUCAAUCUUCUCACGUUCAUCAUUCUUUUCAACAAUCUCAUACCCAUAUCGUUACAAGUUACCCUCGAAGUGGUGAGAUUCGUUCAGGCAACCUUCAUAAACAUGGAUAUCGAAAUGUAUCAUCCGGAAACGGACACACCGGCGAUGGCAAGAACAAGCAAUUUGAACGAAGAAUUGGGAAUGGUUAAUUAUAUAUUUACCGAUAAAACUGGUACACUGACGAGAAACGUAAUGGAAUACAAGCGAUGUUCGAUAGCCGGAAAAAUUUACGAUUCGGCGACGUUUACGGAACCUGGGCAAAGCUCGACACAGCGCGCGAGUGAAUUGGUCUCCGAUAUAAUCGAAGGUCGAACCAAGCACGAUCAAUCCGGGAUAAAUGAUAAGAAAAAAUCCUUGUCCGCGGAUAUUUUGCACGAGUUCAUGGUAAUGCUGUCCGUUUGUCAUACCGUCAUACCCGAAAGACAAGAGGACGAAAUAAUAUAUCACGCAGCAUCGCCUGACGAGAGAGCGCUGGUGGACGGUGCGAGAAAAUACGGCUACGUGUUCGACACGAGAACGCCUGCCUAUGUGGAAAUAGUCGCAUUGGGCGAACGUCUGCGUUACGAGAUUCUCAACGUGAUAGAAUUUACAUCGGCAAGAAAAAGGAUGUCGGUGAUCGUGAGAACGCCCGAGGGUCGUAUUAAGUUAUUUUGUAAAGGCGCCGAUUCCGUUAUUUACGAAAGACUCUCUCCUCAAUCGCCGGAAUCUCUCGAUUCCGAAAUUUCCCCGAGCUUCGAUGAUUUUCGUCAAGCGACUCUCGAUCAUCUCGAAGCCUUUGCGACCGAAGGCCUCAGAACUUUGUGCUUCGCUUUCGCCGACAUACCCGAAACUCGUUAUCAAUGGUGGCGUGAGCUUUACCGCAAAGCUGAAAUUAGUAUAUCGAAUCGUGAUACCAAACUCGAAGAUGCUGCGAACUUGAUCGAAACAAAAUUAACUCUUCUGGGAGCUACCGCCAUCGAGGAUCGAUUGCAAGAUCAAGUUCCCGAAACUCUGCUUGCUCUAAUCGAGGCUGACAUCAACGUUUGGGUGUUAACAGGCGACAAACAAGAGACCGCCAUCAAUAUUGGGUAUUCUUGCAAACUAAUAACCCAAUCGAUGCCUCUGAUAAUCGUCAAUGAAAGUUCGCUAGAUAAAACGAGAGAGGUGAUCAACCAGCAUUGCGUAGACUUUGGCCAAGAUCUGCGUUGUCAAAAUGACAUUGGUCUGGUUAUAGAUGGUAAUAGUUUAAAGUAUGCGCUAACGUGCGACCUAAGAAGAGAUUUUCUCGAUUUGUGUACCUCGUGUAAGGUUGUAAUAUGCUGCCGGGUCUCACCGAUGCAGAAAGCCGAGGUGGUAGAUUUAGUGACGAGUAAUACGAAGGCUGUCACGCUUGCUAUUGGGGACGGAGCCAAUGACGUAGCGAUGAUUCAAAAGGCUCACAUCGGUGUCGGUAUUUCCGGUGUGGAGGGACUUCAGGCAGCCUGCGCUUCGGACUACUCGAUAGCGCAAUUCAAAUUUCUUAAGCGUUUACUGUUCGUUCACGGUUCAUGGAACCACAGUAGAAUGUGUAAAUUAAUUUUAUAUUCUUUUUACAAAAAUAUUUGCCUUUACGUGAUCGAACUGUGGUUCGCUAUAUAUUCCGGCUGGUCCGGACAAAUCCUGUUCGAGAGAUGGUCCAUCGGUUUGUACAAUGUGGUAUUCACCGCGGCACCCCCAUUGGCGAUGGGCCUUUUUGACAAAGUUUGUUCAGCCGAAACUCAUCUCGCACAUCCGAGAUUAUACGCUGCCAAAAACACAACCGAGGCCACAUUUAACAUUAAGGUAUUUUGGGUUUGGAUAAUUAACGCCCUGAUACAUUCUUCGUUGUUGUACUGGCUAUCCUUGCUCGCUCUCCAGCACGACGUAGUUUGGGAAAAUGGUCGAGACGGUGGUUACAUCGUUUUAGGAAAUUUUGUCUACACCUACGUGGUGGUGACUGUUUGCGGAAAGGCGGGGCUCGUUACGAAUUCGUGGACGUGGGUCACUCACUUAGCUACGUGGGGAUCGAUAAUACUAUGGUUUUUAUUCAUAGUUAUCUACAGUAAUUUUUGGCCAGCUCUGAAUGUUGGAGCAGUGAUGCUAGGGAACGAUAGAAUGCUCUUCACUUCUCCGGUAUUCUGGCUAGGCCUCAUACUCAUACCAGCUGCUGUUCUUCUCGUCGAUGUUACGAUCAAAGCGGUACAAAACACCAUGUGGAAGCCAUUGAGCGAAGCAGCGAGGGAGCAAGAAAUCAGAAAAUCAGAUCCCGGUGAUUUGUUCACGAAUCAGGAAUACAGAAGCUCGCCUGCAGUGCAUGCCAUCGCAGCGCUCGCGAGGUAUUGACGGAGACGGCGAGGCUACUGAAAAACGUUAAAAGUGUUUUCACCAGAAGGUCUAACGCAGCUACGAGAGUCAAUGUCGAGGUCGAGCUAUCACAUGGUUUCGCUUUUUCGC
RNAcentral lists this unclassified non-coding RNA (3900 nucleotides) under Venturia canescens. RNAcentral describes it as "probable phospholipid-transporting ATPase IA, transcript variant X3". The record is from RNAcentral. Lineage: Eukaryota; Metazoa; Arthropoda; Insecta; Hymenoptera; Ichneumonidae.